Molecule: ribosomal RNA, 251 nt
Filed under: uncultured bacterium
Lineage: Bacteria
Description: partial 16S ribosomal RNA
Rfam family: Bacterial small subunit ribosomal RNA
Source: RNAcentral
UAGAGGGUGCGAGCGUUGUCCGGAAUCACUGGGCGUAAAGGGCGCGUAGGCGGCUUUUCAAGCGUGCGGUGAAAGCUCGGGGCUUAACUCCGAGUCUGCCGUGCGAACUGGGAGGCUUGAGUCUGGUAGAGGUCGAUGGAAUUCCGGGUGUAGCGGUGGAAUGCGUAGAGAUCCGGAAGAACACCGGAGGCGAAGGCGGCUUGCUGGGCUUGGUCUGACGCUGAGGCGCGAAAGCGUGGGGAGCGAACAGG